Molecule: ribosomal RNA, 1570 nt
Filed under: human gut metagenome
Description: bacterial LSU rRNA
Rfam family: Bacterial large subunit ribosomal RNA
Source: RNAcentral
AGUGAGAAUGCCGGAAUGAGUAGCGAGAAUUAUGUGAGAAUCAUAAUGGUCGAAAAUCUAAGGUUUCUUGAGGAAGGUUCGUCCGCUCAAGGUAAGCCGGGAGCUAAGGCGAGGCCGAGAGGCGUAGUCGAUGCACAUACGGUAAAGAUUCCGUAGCCACCGAAGUCGUUAAAUACAGGGACACAGGAACAUAGCCUAACCCCACCGUUGGUUGAGUGGGGCGUAAGGGAGCGAAAAUUAGUAGCGAAGUAGGUGAUUGUACACUGGCGAGAAAAGCUGUAUGAAUUGACAAGGUGCCCGUACCGCAAACCGACACAGGUAGAUGAGGAGAGAAUCCUAAGACCAGCGGGAGAAGUGUUGUUAAGGAACUCGGCAAAAUGACCCCGUAACUUCGGGAUAAGGGGAGCCUACGCGAGUAGGCCGCAGAGAAUAGUCUCAAGCGACUGUUUAGCAAAAACACAGGUCUAUGCUAAAUCGAAAGAUGAUGUAUAUGGGCUGACGCCUGCCCGGUGCUGGAAGGUUAAGGGGAAGUGUUAGAGCAAUCGAAGCACUGAACUUAAGCCCCAGUAAACGGCGGCCGUAACUAUAACGGUCCUAAGGUAGCGAAAUUCCUUGUCAGGUAAGUUCUGACCCGCACGAAUGGCGUAACGACUUGAGAGCUGUCUCAACAACAUACCCGGCGAAAUUGAAGUACUGGUAAAGAUGCCAGUUACCCGUGAUAAGACGGAAAGACCCCAUGGAGCUUUACUGUAACUUGAUAUUGAAUUUUUGUAUUACAUGUACAGGAUAGGUGGGAGACAGAGAACUAAUGCCGCCAGGUGUUAGGGAGUCGAUGUUGGGAUACCACUCUUGUAAUAUGAAGGUUCUAACCUGCACCCGUGAAUCCGGGUGGGGGACACUGUCAGGUGGACAGUUUGACUGGGGCGGUCGCCUCCUAAAAGGUAACGGAGGCGUUCAAAGGUUGGUUCAGCACGGACGGAAAUCGUGCAACGAGUGCAAACGCAUAAACCAGCCUAACUGCGAGACCGACAAGUCGAGCAGUAACGAAAGUUGGAGUUAGUGAUCCGGCGGUAUGAGAGUGGAAUUGCCGUCGCUCAACGGAUAAAAGCUACCCUGGGGAUAACAGGCUGAUCUCCCCCAAGAGUUCACAUCGACGGGGAGGUUUGGCACCUCGAUGUCGGCUCAUCGCAUCCUGGGGCUGUAGUAGGUCCCAAGGGUUGGGCUGUUCGCCCAUUAAAGCGGUACGCGAGCUGGGUUCAGAACGUCGCGAGACAGUUCGGUCCCUAUCUAUCACGGGCGUAGGAAAUUUGAGGAGAGCUGACCUUAGUACGAGAGGACCGGGUUGGACGUACCGCUGGUGCACCUGUUGUUCUGCCAAGGGCAUAGCAGGGUAGCUAAGUACGGACGGGAUAAACGCUGAAGGCAUCUAAGCGUGAAGCCCCCUUCGAGAUAAGAUUUCCCAUAGCGUAGGCUAGUAAGGACCCAUGAAGACUACAUGGUUGAUAGGCCGGAGGUGGAAGUGCAGUAAUGUAUGCAGCUGACCGGUACUAAUAGUCCGAGGGCUUGACCA